UGGUCUUGAACCGGCGACGUAUCUAUCAAGUGUCUGCCUUAUCAACUUUCGAUGGUAGUUUAUGCGCCUACCAUGGUUGUUACGGGUAACGGAGAAUAAGGGUUCGACUCCGGAGAGGGAGCCUGAGAAACGGCUACCACAUCCAAGGAAGGCAGCAGGCGCGCAAAUUACCCACUCUCGGCAUGAGGAGGUAGUGACGAAAAAUAACGAGACCGUUCUCUAUGAGGCCGGUUAUCGGAAUGGGUACAAUUUAAACCCGUUAACGAGGAUCUAUGAGAGGGCAAGUCUGGUGCCAGCAGCCGCGGUAAUUCCAGCUCUCAAAGUGUAUAUCGUCAUUGCUGCGGUUAAAAAGCUCGUAGUUGGAUCUGCGCCUCAGGACUCGGUCCGCCCAUUGGGUGAGAACUGGGCUCCUAGGCUAAUACUGUUGGUUUUCCCUAUGUUGCCUUCAUCGGUCGCGUAGGGUGGCUAGCGAGUUUACUUUGAAAAAAUUAGAGUGCUUCACGCGGGCUAUUGUCUGAAUACUCGUGCAUGGAAUAAUAGAAUAGGAUCUCGGUUCUAUUUUGUUGGUUUUCUGAUCUGAGAUAAUGGUUAAGAGGGACGGACGGGGGCAUUCGUAUCGCUGCGUGAGAGGUGAAAUUCUUGGACCGUAGCGAGACGUCCGACUGCGAAAGCAUUUGCCAAGAAUGUCUUCAUUAAUCAAGAACGAAAGUCAGAGGUUCGAAGGCGAUCAGAUACCGCCCUAGUUCUGACCGUAAACGAUACCAACUAGCGUUCCGUCGGCGGUAAAUACGCCUUGGCGGGCAGCUUCCCGGAA
This 814-nucleotide ribosomal RNA is filed under the name Cosmocerca sp. ZCRK 187. RNAcentral describes it as "SSU rRNA". It matches the Rfam family "Eukaryotic small subunit ribosomal RNA", at positions 274 to 1096 of the family's 1831-position model. The record is from RNAcentral. Lineage: Eukaryota; Metazoa; Nematoda; Chromadorea; Rhabditida; Cosmocercidae.